RNAcentral lists this long non-coding RNA (5567 nucleotides) under Panax ginseng (ginseng). Its description in RNAcentral is "long non-coding RNA (PGIN_LNC004896)". Lineage: Eukaryota; Viridiplantae; Streptophyta; Magnoliopsida; Apiales; Araliaceae. The record is from RNAcentral.
AGCUUUCUAUACUCCUUAGCCAUCCGUGCCACUUCUCCUUUACUCUUUAACGGUUAAAUUUCAUAGCACCCGGAGGCUUAACAAAACUUCUUUAAAUUUCGGCAAGCUCCAACAAUUUUGAGAAAGAAAAAUGAUGAAGUAGUGAUCUGGGAUUAAAAGCGGCAAGGAGAUUAUAUAAAUUGACUGUGAAGCCAAAAUUUCAUUAUACUGAACUUUUGCGAAGUAAGUUCUAUGUUCUUAAAUAACUUUUAGAAAUUUGGAUAAUUAGUGUUGUGAUUAUUAUUGUUUCUAAGCUUAGAUUUAUAUACACUUAUAAGAAGCUGUGUUAGCUAGUAGGGAUUGGAGGGAUGAUCAUGUAGAACUCUAUUAGAACUUGAAUUCCGUUGAAGCUAGUAUUUAAGCAAGAAGAUUAAUUCAAAAGAUAAUAUUAUAUUUUUGUAUUUGGGUAGGUUCAUUAAGAAAGUAAAAUAGUGUCUCAAGAUUGUGGUUUGUAUUAUUGUAUAAAAUUUCUAAAGGGAAUCUGGAGUUGUGUAUGUUAAUCAAACAGUGAACUCUAAGGUCUUUCAUUAUGUAUUCUAAAUAUUUGACUAAAUGCUUAAAUGGAAGUUUUGAUUUAAGAAUUUAGAAGUCAGAGAUAUUUGAUUAGUCUAAGUAAUUACUAAUAACGGAAAUUUCAAACAAGAGUCUGCUCUGGGUAUCUGAAAAUAGAAAUUUUAUUCAUGGAGGGCCAUAGAUGAUUUGAUGUUAUAAUAUUCAAGCUCUGCAAAAAAUUUGCGUCUGAAGUCGAAGUAGCGCGGCUGCGUCACUUCCAAGGCCUGAGACCAGCGCGGCCACGCUGGUCUGCAGUCAUCCCAAGAGAUUUUAUUUGUGUUCUUAGCUUUAGGGCAGGUAUAUCAAAGUUCCUUGUGCUAUUACGAGUCUUAAAUGAUUUCUGGAUUGGCUAUGCAAGAAUUGGCUUAGUAUAAUAUAACUUGAUAAGAGUUUUAUAAUAAAAAUACUAAAAUGUUUUAAAUAAAAACUUUGGUGAAUAUAGACUGGUUUAAAGGCUUUUAAAGCCUUAUAUUAUAUGUUGGAUUAACUGUCUAAGGACUUUAGCAUGACAUGGGUACGUUGGACAGAGUUUGCAUAACUCAAUUCUGGUCUUAGCAGGGAGUAACGCAGUCGCGCCACUCCUAAACAUAAAUGCAGCGCGGUUGCGCCGUGCUGCAGAUCUGUCAAGACCAGUUUGAUAUAAAUUGAACUUUGAGACAUGUAAGCAUGAGUCUUUUAGUAUGUAAUACCUUAAACAUAAGAUGUUUAGCAUGACCUAGCAUGGAAUGAUUAUAUCAAGGGAAGGGGGAAUAAGAAAGUUAUAAAUAAAACUCAAUAAAUUAAACAAGACUAAGGAUCGAUAUAAUCUAAGUAAUUGUACUUGGUAUGUAUUACUGAUGUGGCAUGUAUAUAUAACUUGUUUGUAGGAAUUAUGAAGCACGGGUAGCUAUGCGUUAUAAUUUCUCGCCAGGCAAGUCUUCCGGUUCUUACUUAUUAUAUGAACUUAACAUGAUUACAUGAUGUAUCUAUUAUGGUAAUUGAAAUAUGAAAGUCAACUUAUGACAAACAGAUUGAGUUUUGGAACUCAGUCUUGACAUGAUAUGUGAUAUGCUAGCUAAAUCUUUUCGUUCAAGGUUAUAGUGCAUGUCUACUUUACGUAUGAACUGAGCAUGAAAGUAUGUGAUAUAGGAUUUAUGAAAAAACUGUUAGAUUUGCUGAGUUGUCGAGCUCAAUCUUGCAAAAAGCAGGAUAACGAUAGAAUGCGACACUAUUUGCUACCCAGAUGAUGAUGAAUCAUGAACGACGUGUGGAAGAAUACACUAUCUUAAAUUAGAAGCUGAUAAUUUUUUAAUAGUGUAAAUCAAUAAUUGUGUACAAUUUAAUAUAUUCAAUAAAAAGGGAAUAUUUACUUUGAAUUGAGAAUGUAUUAUGAUGAUUGUUUGUAUAUAAAUUAUAUAGGUGAAACAUCAAUACAAAAGAUGAUAAGCAUUGGUACUUGAACUCUUAUAGUUCACUUACUCUAAUAGUGGGAAUCGUAAAGGUUGCGAUUCAUGGAACGUAGGAAAAGAAAGAUAUAUAAAAUUUUUAAUUAGCCGUAUUUUCGGCUGUUAUUGCAUCUAAUUAUGAUGUAAAGUUGAAUUUAGGUUGUAUUGAACGCACAAGGUCGAGACUAAAUUAGUCCUAAUAUUGGAUUAAGUUGAUCUUGAUUUUGGGGGUGUUACACAGGCAACAUGAUAUCGAAAUGAAAAGCUUGAACAAGAUAGGAGUUAGGUCUUCUCAGUCCUCUACGCAACCCUCAUGGCCUCAUUCUCUGAGUUCUUUUCUAAUAAAGCGAAAUAGAAUGCCGUUUCAUCGUUAUAAGCACUACCAGAUGCAGUUUCAUUUUUAUCUUGCUUCAUUAAUGGAGUCCAUUACCAACGUAACAUAAGAACUCAUGGUGCUUGUGUUUACUUUUUUACGGUUUGUUGAUGAUCAUUAUUAGUUCUAGGUGUACUUGGACAUAUUUGUUCAAAUCUAAAGAUAAGUAGGUACGUAAAAGAUGAUUUGUGAGUAGAGCUGUGGUGUUGUUUCGACACUUGUUUCCGUCCUCUUAAUACAAACUCUUUCCUUCCAUUUUCAUUGGUGAUUGCAAUUGGGAUCAUUUUUGAAUCUCCAAAUGCUCUUAAUUCUGUCCAUUUCGUCAUUUCGAUAAUAUUUAUCAUCAAAAUCUUUACCUGUCGUUAGGGGUGUUUCUUUAGGCUUUCGCUACACGUAAUGUGACACUCAAGAUUUAUGGUCAAUUGGGAUCUACAAGGUGAGCUAGGAUGCUAGGGACUCAACGAGUGUGUUUAGUCAAAGGUGGAGAGAUAUGGGACAAUAAGGACUUGAAGAGAGGCGUGAACAAGAUUAGGUAAUAAAUAAUCACAAAUCAUAUGACAAAAGUGAGUAGCAUAAUACUUAUCAGAAAGAUGCAUGCAUGCAUAUGUUUGCUAUCAGGUGGGCUUACUGGUUGGUUGCCCGACUAGGAACUGGCUCAAUCCUUUACUAGGGUAAUGUUUGAAUCUCACUAACUCAGCUAGUUUCAACAGGGUUUCAAGGUUGAAGAAGAAUAAACAGUGGUGAGAGUCCUGUAGUAACCAAUUGGCCAAUCAGCCCCAACUCUUUUUGUGCCUUACAUAUGUACAGGUUGUGUAUAUCUUGGCCUCCUCUCACAUAGGUUAGGUUAAGUAGGAGGGAUCAAACUCCUCUAGAGUUUCUAGGUACUACAAAAUUUGAAGUUCUCUAAAUCUCAACCUUUCAUUUAAGAUCAAUGGUCAAGGUGCUUAUCCAAAAUGUGGUAUGAUGAGAAUAACUUUCUAAUUAAAAUGAUUUAAUUAAAACUAAUUAAUAGAUAGUUAAAAUAAGUUGAUAUUUAGUUAAACUUGAUGGAAUUGUUUCUAAGCUUAAUGUAACAACAAGUAUAUUUUCAACGAUACUGCGCCAUGACAUCAAGUACUUGAUAACCGCACAAGGCAUUUAUUUGGCUAUAUUAGUUGGCAUUUACUAAACUCUUCUUUAUAAAUAAUUGUUUUAGAUAUUCAAUCAUACCUUGCAAGUGGUUGUGUGGCCAAGGGUUAUAUAAGAGGAUGUUACUCAUUUAUAAAUUAUAGAGCCAACUGCCAAGUCGUAAUUAUACUUGUACAAUAAAAGUUUGAGUAAAUAAGGAGAAUUUUUUUUUUGAAUCGCCCCAUCUUAUGUUUUAGAACGAAAGUAUACUAUGUGUUGAAAUUUUCAUACUAAAACAUAAUUCGCCAUCAUUUUAACAUCUCCUAAUAACCAUAGGUUGUAGAUGGAUAUAUAAAAAGUAAAACUUGAUGCUACUAGAGAGAGAUACCAACCAUAUUAAACAAGAGACAAUUGUAUCAAAAUUCAAAUUGACUUGAAUUUUGAGUAGAACGUAAUUUAGUGCAGCUCCUACAUAUAUACAUAUACAUAUAUUAUGAGUGAGUUUUAUAUCUAUAAAGUGAGUAUUUUUAGUUUGAUGAUUUGUGAAUUUUUGAAUAUUUUAUGUUACUUGUAUAUGUUUUUAUUUUAUUUUGUAGGAUAAUGAACGAAAGACAUUAAAGUUGAUGUUUGGAAGCAAAUAUUUUCAAAAUUAUAGUAAAAGAGCAUUAGAACCUACGCGACGAGACUACCAUCCCCAUAGGCCAAAAAUAAUGACUUCCAUUGCUGCGCCAUUUCUUAGGUCAUUUUUGGUGCAACCUUGAAACCCUGUUGAUGGUUUUCAUCAGAUCUGAAGAAGAAUUCAUAGCAAUGAUACAAAUUCUUAUUUCUUCCAUUUUUCUUUAAUUUUUGUAUUCUAAACAUGAUGAAUCAUUUUAUUAAUUUGAUUUCUUUUUCAGUUAUGAGCUAAAUUCUUAAUUAAGGUUGUAAUGGAACCUAAUGUCUAGUUGUAAUUAAUUUACUCUCUUAUUGGAAUUAUUAUUGAUCAUAUUUGAAUCGUUUAUCAUAUUUUAUGCUUCAUGUAUGAUUGUCUAACUAGAAAUUAUUGUGAUAACCUAGAUGAACGAUGUGUCAUGGAUUAGUUCCCUGGUAAUACAUCCCGGCGUCGAUUAUGAUUGGAAGAGACCUCCUCACAACCCAUCAACAAUGCCAUCCGUGUGUCCAGUUCUUUCUGCUAAAGGCGUAAGGCCUCCACAACAUCCUGAUUCUCUUGUACCUUCAUGGCCAAAAUUAAUUGUCUGGUGUCCUGGCUAUCUCACCUGAAGUUCCGAUACUACUGGGUACGUGUUCGAGAUGGAAUAUCCUCGACACGAUCGUUGGGUCCCCCUUCCUUCCUUGUCAUUGAGAACAACUGACGCCUGACACCGGCCGUUUGAGUAUUCUUUGGACCCACCGAAUGAUUGUUGUUUUCAACAUGAUCGAAUGGUCCCAAUCGAUCUUUAACCGAACCCCGGGGUUGACCUGAUAGGUUGGCAGUUGAUUUUUUCUGUCCGGAAAUUGUCUUACUUGUCGCCAUUACUUGUGAUCAAAUUUAUGAGUGAUUGAAAAUGCCUAACACUAAACAACCCUCCUUCUAGCACCAAUGUUAACGCCAAAAUUCUUCCAUGUGUCUCAAUCAUCAAUAGCGUGUCCAGUCCUGCACAAAGAAGAAGUCACACGGAGAAACUUGAUGGCUUGGGCCGCCGGGAGUAGCUCUGGUGUGAGAAUAGGUGCAAAUUAAAUAAGGUUAACAAUGGAGGUAUUAAACUUUAGUGCUAGAAAAUAAUGAGAUACGUGAAAAUUAUGGUGAAGCCUUGUAUUUAUAGUGAUCACACCUUCUCUACAUGCUCGUCCCCAUAUGAAAAUAGAAUUCCUCAUUGAGAUAGAUUCCUUAAUGGGACAAAAUUAAAUCCCCUUAAAGAAAGGAAGUCGGAUUCUAUCCUAACUCUUUCCUUAAGUGUUGGAAAUUAAAUAUAGUUAAGAAUCUUAGAUUCUUUAAAGUUCCCUAACUGCCCAAAACAAAUCCAUGAGUGGAGACUCCUCCACGUGGACUAUGGUCCACCGAAUCACUCAGGCCCAAACAAUCAUGCUCUAAC